GCAAGGGCAAGCUGACUAGGGACCGUCCACCAAGAGGCACGCUGGCACAAGCCCAUCAGCCUUCAAGUACGGACAAGAAAAUGACUCAAAUGGGUUUCUGGAUGCAGAGGGCAGGAUUAGAUGACCUUCCCAUGGCAGGCCUGUGGGGUCUACAGUCUCGCCUGGGAUGAAGUGGAGCACAGAAAAUGAGGGAGAGAGGAAUGAGCAGAGGCGGAGAGCCAGGUAGGCCAUGCAGAGACCAC
RNAcentral lists this long non-coding RNA (242 nucleotides) under Ictidomys tridecemlineatus (thirteen-lined ground squirrel). Its description in RNAcentral is "lncRNA (ENSSTOG00000030491.1)". The record is from RNAcentral. Lineage: Eukaryota; Metazoa; Chordata; Mammalia; Rodentia; Sciuridae.